AGGGAAUAUUGCGCAAUGGGCGAAAGCCUGACGCAGCGACACCGUGUGAAGGAUGAAGGUCUUCGGAUCGUAAACUUCUGUCAAUUGGGGACGAAGGUAAUAAGGUUAAUAGCCUUUAUUAUUGACGGUACCUAAUAAGGAAGUCUCGGCUAACUCCGUGCCAGCAGCCGCGGUAAGACGGAGGAGGCAAGCGUUGUCCGGAAUCAUUGGGCGUAAAGAGCGCGUAGGCGGUUUUUCAAGUCGUAUGUGAAAACUUCAGGCUUAACCUGAUGAUUGCAUAUGAAACUGGAUAACUUGAGUACAGCAGAGGAAAGUGGAAUUCCUGGUGUAGCGGUGAAAUGUGCAGAUAUCAGGAAGAACACCAGUAGCGAAGGCGGCUUUCUGGGCUGUUACUGACGCUGAGGCGCGAAAGCUAGGGGAGCGAACAG
This 428-nucleotide ribosomal RNA is filed under the name uncultured bacterium. RNAcentral's name for it is "bacterial SSU rRNA". It matches the Rfam family "Bacterial small subunit ribosomal RNA", at positions 356 to 775 of the family's 1533-position model. The record is from RNAcentral.